CGAACGACCCAGUGGAACUGCCCAUUGGUUCAAUUGCUGUAAGAGGGCUGACAAGUUGAUGCAAAUAUGUUGCGCAGAGCAUGUGAGAAAUGCUUCAGCCUCAGGAGGCAGGGCUGACUUACAAGAAAGAGGCUGACUUCUUUCAAUUUCUCCUGUCUGUUCAGUCCAUUUUCUCAUCCAGCCUUCGUUUUGAGGGACACCUACCUGCUCAAAGUCCUCAGUGCUCUCUGCUCUGUUCCCUUUCAGGCAGCAGUCUGGUCGCACUGUGCCUUCUUCUAAUUUUUUCAAGAAAUAAAGAGGAUAAGACUCAACCAAACCCAUGGUGUUUUUGUUAUUCCAAGGCACAUUUUCAAAGGAGAAUCAUACUAAAUACACAUGGAGUACAGCAUAUCAGACAGACAUGUGAUUAAUGAUCCACCUGAUUAUUUCAGGCCACUUGGUGCAGUGCACUAUUAUUACAAACACUGGAUGAAACCUGUAAAGAGAAAAAGGAAAGUUCAUCGUCA
Long non-coding RNA from Xiphias gladius (swordfish), 506 nucleotides. RefSeq lists it as uncharacterized. The record is from RefSeq and is a predicted model, not a curated record. The transcript has 3 exons. NCBI's taxonomy places the organism in Eukaryota, Metazoa, Chordata, Actinopteri, Istiophoriformes, Xiphiidae.